CCCCGCCCCGCCGGGUGAGUGGGCCAGGCCGAGAGUCAGGCUGCUCCUGCCCGCUGGGCUGAAUGUGAUCUUGGUGAUGGAGGCCACCAGAACCUGGAGAAAAGGGACGCCUAAAAGAAGUAACUUGGAGAAUUCUACACACCAAGAUUCACUAGCACCUGUGGACCCAGGAACAGUGUCACUACUGCUGCAGAGCCAGGAGCACCAAGCACCUUCUAGAAUAAGAUAGACACCCUGAUGAAUCUUCCUGGAUGCUUGCUGACAUUUCUGAUGCCUUAGGUGACAGGAAGCCUUCUGUGCCACAGAGGGGACUCCCAGGGAGCGACACCAAUGGGUGCAACAGGGUACAGUAAUGAAGAAGUGUCGGAGGGGUCUUAAGAGGAGCCCAGAGGCUGCAUCCCAACCUCUGUGUGGGGGAAUGAUCUCGGCCAGUGAGCUCUCUUCUCCAGAGAGAGUCCUGAGGGCAGCAUUAGGGAUUGGGAGUUGCCAGUCAUGACGCUUAUCCUGUCUCCACUACCCUAGUCUUCCUCGGGAGAAAAAUGCUGAUGUCUUUGGGGAAAUAGUCACCUCCUAUCCUAAAACAAAGUUCAGCCAAGCUCUAUACCAACUAGUAGUGUAGGGUGACUAACAUUUGGAGGGGUUUUUCUCUGCUCCGCAGCAAAGGCAUUUUUGUUUUGUUUUGUUUUUCGAGACAGGGUUUCUCUGUGUAGCUUUGGAACCUAUCCUGGCACUUGCUCUGGAGACCAGGCUAGCUUCGAACUCACGGAGAUCUGCCUGCCUCUGCCUCCCGAGUGCUGGGAUUAAAGGCGUGCGCCACCAAUGCCCAGCUUGUUUUGUUUUUUUAAAGACAGAGUUUCUCUUUGUAGUCCUGGCUCUCCUGGAACCCUCUCUGGCCAGCUGACCCAGAAGGCCCAGACUGGUCUUGAACUGAGAGAUCUGCCUACCUCUGCUUCCCAAGUUCUGGGACUAAAGGUGUCUUCUUGCCUGCUUCUAAUAACACCAUGGACACAGAGCAAAGGGUUGGAGGAGUGUAGACCUUACCUGAUGAGCCUUGUCAGUUGAAAACCGUCAUGGACUCUAGAAGGGAGAAGACCAGAGGACCCCAAAAGCUUGAGGGCCAAGUGGCCUGAGUAUGCAGUAGCCAACCAGAAGAGAUCCUGCCUCCACAGAGUGGAAGAUGAAGACCAAGACUCAAGGUGUCCUCUGACCUUCCCAUGUGUGAUUUGACACCUGCACAUACAUAAC
This 1245-nucleotide long non-coding RNA is filed under the name Cricetulus griseus (Chinese hamster). RNAcentral describes it as "lncRNA (ENSCGRG00015040994.1)". Lineage: Eukaryota; Metazoa; Chordata; Mammalia; Rodentia; Cricetidae. The record is from RNAcentral.